CUUUCACAUUGUUGGACUCAUUCUCAUUCUCAGCUGUUUAAGCCCCUGUGGAAAUCUUCAUCUGCUCUUUGGUCCCUUCCUGGCUUCCAUCCCUCAUCUAGCUGCCUAACCCCUCUAAGUGAAGACCUUUGAAAGACAGGGCUGUGUUAGAUCAGGGUCAGCUUUCACCUAAACCACUCUGACAGCACAAGACGAUGUGCUUCAGCCUCUCCUGUGUCCUGCUGCAGAUGCAUAAAGAACGUUACUUUGGAGACAAAGGAGAACCAAUAGAGAAGAUCCCAUAGGUCUUAGGUGGCCGUCUGUGAGUUUCACUCCUCAUCUAGCCCUUUCUGUGAUGAAGAAUGAUAAGAAAGCAAACAAUGAGAGUCAGAUUAGUGAC
Oreochromis aureus is the source of this 379-nucleotide long non-coding RNA. RefSeq lists it as uncharacterized. Lineage: Eukaryota; Metazoa; Chordata; Actinopteri; Cichliformes; Cichlidae. The transcript has 3 exons. The record is from RefSeq and is a predicted model, not a curated record.